Molecule: ribosomal RNA, 497 nt
Filed under: uncultured bacterium
Lineage: Bacteria
Description: partial 16S ribosomal RNA
Rfam family: Bacterial small subunit ribosomal RNA
Source: RNAcentral
GAUGAACGCUGGCGGCGUGCCUAAUACAUGCAAGUCGAGCGAACGGACGAGAAGCUUGCUUCUCUGACGUUAGCGGCGGACGGGUGAGUAACACGUGGAUAACCUACCUAUAAGACUGGUAUAACUUCGGGAAACCGGCGCUAAUACCGGAUAAUAUUUUGAACCGCAUGGUUCAAAAGUGAAAGACGGUCUUGCUGUCACUUAUAGAUGGAUCCGCGCUGCAUUAGCUAGUUGGUAAGGUAACGGCUUACCAAGGCAACGAUGCAUAGCCGACCUGAGAGGGUGAUCGGCCACACUGGAACGGAGACACGGUCCAGACUCCUACGGGAGGCAGCAGUAGGGAAUCUUCCGCAAUGGGCGAAAGCCUGACGGAGCAACGCCGCGUGAGUGAUGAAGGUCUUCGGAUCGUAAAACUCUGUUAUUAGGGAAGAACAUAUGUGUAAGUAACUGUGCACAUCUUGACGGUACCUAAUCAGAAAGCCACGGCUAACUACGUG